This 230-nucleotide ribosomal RNA is filed under the name uncultured bacterium. RNAcentral describes it as "partial 16S ribosomal RNA". It matches the Rfam family "Bacterial small subunit ribosomal RNA", at positions 524 to 753 of the family's 1533-position model. The record is from RNAcentral.
UACGAAGGGUGCAAGCGUUAAUCGGAAUUACUGGGCGUAAAGCGUGCGUAGGCGGUUUGUUAAGUCCGUUGUGAAAGCCCUGGGCUCAACCUGGGAAUUGCAGUGGAUACUGGCAAGCUAGAGUCAGGUAGAGGGUGGUGGAAUUCCCGGUGUAGCGGUGAAAUGCGUAGAGAUCGGGAGGAACAUCUGUGGCGAAGGCGGCCACCUGGACCAUGACUGACGCUGAGGCA